AACGAACGCUGGCGGCAGGCUUAACACAUGCAAGUCGAGCGCCCAGCAAUGGGAGCGGCGCACGGGUGAGUAACACGUGGGAACGUGCCCUUUGGUUCGGAAUAACGUAGGGAAACUUGCGCUAAUACCGGAUAAGCCCUUACGGGGAAAGAUUUAUCGCCAUUGGAGCGGCCCGCGUUGGAUUAGCUAGUUGGUGGGGUAAAAGCCUACCAAGGCAACGAUCCAUAGCUGGUCUGAGAGGACGACCAGCCACACUGGGACUGAGACACGGCCCAGACUCCUACGGGAGGCAGCAGUGGGGAAUCUUGGACAAUGGGGGAAACCCUGAUCCAGCCAUGCCGCGUGAGUGAUGAAGGCCUUAGGGUUGUAAAACUCUUUCGGCGGGACAAUAAUGACGGUACCCGCAGAAGAAGCUCCGGCUAACUUCGUGCCAGCAGCCG
RNAcentral lists this ribosomal RNA (440 nucleotides) under uncultured bacterium. Its description in RNAcentral is "bacterial SSU rRNA". It matches the Rfam family "Bacterial small subunit ribosomal RNA", at positions 29 to 517 of the family's 1533-position model. The record is from RNAcentral.